This 1356-nucleotide unclassified non-coding RNA is filed under the name uncultured Neocallimastigales. RNAcentral describes it as "partial contains internal transcribed spacer 1, 5.8S ribosomal RNA, internal transcribed spacer 2, and large subunit ribosomal RNA". The stretch from base 595 to 1356 matches the Rfam family "Eukaryotic large subunit ribosomal RNA", at positions 1 to 621 of the family's 3401-position model. The record is from RNAcentral. Lineage: Eukaryota; Fungi; Neocallimastigomycota; Neocallimastigomycetes; Neocallimastigales.
AAAAUAAUCCUACCCUUUGUGAAUUUUGUUUGUUUGAAUAAUUUUUUUUUUUAAAAAAUUAUUGGAGUCUUUCCCUUUAGAGUUUGCUUUUGAGUUUGUAAAGAAUUCGAAAACAUCUAAAGGGGAUGGUCAAUAAUUUUUUUUGAAAAAAGACAUUUUUUAAAAUUAAACUUUUUGUAUUCAUUUGUCUAAAAAUUAUUUUUAUAAUAUAAAAACAACUUUUGACAAUGGAUCUCUUGGUUCUCGCAACGAUGAAGAGCGCAGCAAAAUGCGAUAAGUAGUGUGAAUUGCAGAAUACGUGAAUCAUCGAAUCUUUGAACGCAUAUUGCACUUUUUUAGUUUACUAAAAAAGUAUGUCUGUUUGAGUAUCAGUAAAAUAUUCUCAUAAAAAUCAUUGUGUAUUUUUAUGGUUAUGAGUGUUUCACAACGAUACAAGUUGUUUCACUUUAAAUUUUUUUUUAAUAUUGAAAUUUUUCUAAUUUUAAUAAUUAAAUUGGAUAAAAUUUUCCCGUCAAAAGGAAUAACCUAAACAAUUUUAAAUGAUUAAUUUUAGCAAAAUUUUCGUAAAAAAGGAAAAUUUUUAUUAAAAUAACUUGAUCUCAAAUCAGAUAAGAGUACCCGCUGAACUUAAGCAUAUCAAUAAGCGGAGGAAAAGAAACUAACAAGGAUUCCCUUAGUAACGGCGAGUGAAGCGGGAAGAGCUCAAAUUUGAAAUCUUCAAGGUUUUACCUUGACGAAUUGUAGUUUAAAGAAGUGUUUUCUGCUGAAGUUUUGGUAAAAGUUCUUUGGAAUAGGACAUCAUAGAGGGUGAGAAUCCCGUAUUUGACCAUUAUUUUCAGCUUUGUGAUACACUUUCAAAGAGUCGGAUUGUUUGGGAAUGCAGUCCAAAAUGGGUGGUAAAUUUCAUCUAAAGCUAAAUAUUGGCGAGAGACCGAUAGCGAACAAGUACCGUGAGGGAAAGAUGAAAAGAACUUUGAAAAGAGAGUUAAACAGUACGUGAAAUUGUCAAAAGGGAAGCGUUUGACACCAGUGUUGUUUUCUCGAAAAUCAAUUAAAAAUGGCUCGAUUUUGUAUUGCUUGAGACCUUAAAAGCUCACUGUACAUUUUUCGUGUCUUUUUUAAUGCACUUUUCGUUUAACAAGUCAACAUCAGUUUCUUUUGUUGUAAAAGGGUCAUUGGAAGUGGCUUUCUUUUCGGAGAAAGUGUUUAUAGCCUUUGGCCUCUGCAAUCGGAGAGACUGAGGUCUGCAGCGUAGACUCUUCGGGGUUAGAUACAUUUGUGCUAAGUUAUAGCUUUUUAUAGACAACUUGUUGACUAUAAUUAGUCUUGUAGCUUACUCGCUUAUGCUAUUUUACC